RNAcentral lists this ribosomal RNA (301 nucleotides) under uncultured bacterium. RNAcentral's name for it is "partial 16S ribosomal RNA". It matches the Rfam family "Bacterial small subunit ribosomal RNA", at positions 509 to 809 of the family's 1533-position model. The record is from RNAcentral.
CAGUCGCCGCGGGAAUACGUAGGGGGCGAGCGUUGUCCGGAAUUACUGGGCGUAAAGGGCACGCAGGCUGUGAUUCAAGUCAGCUGUAAAAGGAUGCGGCUUAACCGUGUUUAGCAGUUGAAACUGGAUGACUGGAGUGCUGGAGAGGCAAGUGGAAUUCCCAGUGUAGCGGUGAAAUGCGUAGGUAUUGGGAAGAACAUCGGUGGCGAAGGCGACUUGCUGGCCAGUAACUGACGCUGAGGUGCGAAAGCCAGGGUAGCAAACGGGAUUAGAUACCCCUGUAGUCCCUGUCUCUUAUACA